CUGUUUAGUAUAUAUUGCCGCACUUGCUAAUUUAUUUGUUGAUUUUAACGAGGGAGGGGAAAUUUAUGAAUAUGCAAUAACAGAAAUGAAAAAGAAGUUAAAAAAAUAUUUUUUUUCCAAUCCCUCCUAUAUAUGGUGUGUCUGCUAUACUAAAUCCUACUAUGAAAUUAGGAGGACCUCACUUUUUGUAUUCUAGUAUUUAUCAAGCUUUAGAUCUUGAUGAAGAAGAAAUGGCUACACUAUCUGAUGC
This 250-nucleotide long non-coding RNA is filed under the name Nicotiana benthamiana. RNAcentral's name for it is "long non-coding RNA (NBEN_LNC004655)". Lineage: Eukaryota; Viridiplantae; Streptophyta; Magnoliopsida; Solanales; Solanaceae. The record is from RNAcentral.